RNAcentral lists this long non-coding RNA (564 nucleotides) under Salvia miltiorrhiza (redroot sage). RNAcentral describes it as "long non-coding RNA (SMIL_LNC000291)". Lineage: Eukaryota; Viridiplantae; Streptophyta; Magnoliopsida; Lamiales; Lamiaceae. The record is from RNAcentral.
UAUGCAGUGCAAUUUUUGUAUUUGUUAAUAAGAGCAUCCGCAGCGCGGAGCUCUAAGCACCGGACUGAGCCGACGAAGAAGGCGCCCCGCGAGCGCGCACCAGGUUGUUUCCAUAGUGCCGGGCAGUUUGAGGAGAAAAGGGAGUCGCGUGCGUUCAACGCGUACAAAUUAAUUUAAAAAGGAAAAAAAAAGAAUUUGGUUUUGCAGGAGAAAGAGAGAGGAGAGAGAAGCAAUUGCAUGAGAAAAAUGGGGAAAGAGAAAGGAGGAGAAAUGGGGGAGAGUCGGUGGAUCGGGAAGAAAGAAAAGAAAGAAAUGGCGGCUGAGAUAUAAAGUGUGGUACAUAAAGUGUGGUACACUGAAUUUCAUUCCGUUAAAAGAAGUAGGCUUUUUAUUUUUUGUUUUUUGCUUUUACUUUUUGUUUUUUCUUUUCUUUCAAAAUCCUAAUUUUUUUUAAUUGUUUUAAUUUUCGCCUAAUUUUUAAUUAUUGUAAUGUUUUUAAUUUUAGCAGAGAUUGAGCAGUUUGUUCUCUUGGGAUCGGGACUCUAUCACGAAUGCCGGCAGCCU